RNAcentral lists this long non-coding RNA (1803 nucleotides) under Anser brachyrhynchus (Pink-footed goose). RNAcentral's name for it is "lncRNA (ENSABRG00000016707.1)". The record is from RNAcentral. Lineage: Eukaryota; Metazoa; Chordata; Aves; Anseriformes; Anatidae.
AUGCUAAUCCUGCAAGAGAGGGGAUGGGGCGGUGAGUGGGGCACUCACCCCAGACCCCCGGGCUGGGGACAGUCGGUUGCCGACUGUUCCUUUCCACACCGCCUGCACCAACAGGUCCGGCAUGGGGUGCGCGGCGGUGCUCAGCGCCCACCCCGGGGAAGGGAAGAGCAGUGGCAGCCUCUUACCGCAAAAGCCAGCCUUCCCCCGGCGCGGUCGAGCCAGGAGCGGGAUUCAGGUGCUGCUGCGGCUCCCGGGGCCGCGGGGACGUGGCCUGGAGACCCUGUGGAGGGAGAGCAGCUCGAGAGCAUCUGCCGGUGCCCGGCAGAGCACCGGGGCUGCUCGGCACGGCGUGGGGCGAGGGCACCCGUUUGGGCCAUGCACGCGGGCAGCCUGCAGUCACUGCGUGCCAGGCGCCCUGGGGGCACCACCGGCCCCCUCCCCUUUGCAGGUGAGAGGAGGGCCCGGGGGGCUGCAGAGCGUGAUGUGGGGCUCGGGGCUGUCAGAGCCUUGCCCCGGGCAGGGCAGGGGUUGCCAGCUGGGCACCCCGCGCCCUCACCCUGUGCACGGCACCCCCACCUGGAUGGGCACGAGGCCACGCGGGGUGUGCCAGGCGCCGGGGGGACACCAGCCGGUGUCACACAACCGGCCCCAAACACCCUCCAGCCCCCGCGGGGGCAGCCCCACCCCACAGGGCUCGUGGAAGCCCCGAGCUCUCCGCACCCCAGCAGCUCAGGCAGUGCCACCAGGAGCGGGCACCACGCCGCCACCACCCCCUCCGUGCCCCUGACACCCCGGUGGUGCCCAUCUCCCCACGCAGCCCCCCCACUGCCCCCCGUGGCACCUCCCCUCGGGGCCGGGGGGGUACCGGGCACCCUGAGCCCACCCUGCGGGCACCCAGGGGGGCUGCGAGCACCCAGCGGGGGGGUCGGUGCCGCGUCGCGGGGAGGGGGGGGGGGGGGGGGGCGCGCACCCAUCCCAGGGGCACACGCCCGCAGGCACGAACACCCGUGUGCGCACACACGCGCGCCCGCCGGCUCGGGCACGCACCCGCGGGCACACGGCGCCGGGCACACGCACCGGGGCACGCGGACACGCGCGGACACGGACACGCGUGUGCACGCGGCGGCCCCGCCGCGCCCGGCCGAGCCCCGAACAAAGCCGCCCCCGCCGCAGCCCCGGUGCCGCCGCUCCCCCCACCCCCCCCCCCCCCCCCCCCCCCCCCCCCCCCGGUUACCGGAGGGGGGGGCGCGCCCCGCCACGUGCGCGCCCCGGGGCCGCCGUUACCUGCAGCGGCGGCGGCUGCCGCCCGGUCCCGUCCCGUCCCGUCCCGUCCCGCUCCGCUCCGCUCCGGCGCGGCGGCGGCCGCGAGCAUGCGUGGGGCGGCGGCGGCGGCGGGGGCGGUGCCGCGCCCCGGGCCGCUCCCCCCCGCCCGCCGCCCGCAGCGGCACCCCCGGGCCGCGCCCCGCUCCGGAGCCGGGGGGGGACCGCGGUUUUUGGGGGUUAACGGGGGUGGCGAGCGCCCCGGUGCUGUCCCCAAAUCCCCGGUUGGGGGCCGUGGCCAGCAUCCAUCGCCGCCACCCCGUUGCCCGGUCAGCGGACCCCAACCCCGGGGACCCCCGCCGCAGCCCCCCGACACCCCGGGAUGUGGAUAGCCGUCAGCCCGGCACAGCCGCCCCGGUACCGCCAGGGCUGUGCCACCCCGACGCGCCCCGCUGCUAUGGGCACGUGGCCGGCACCGUGGCCUGGCCGGGGGGUCCGUGGCACGAGCCCCGUGGCACCGUCCCCGGGGUGGGAUGGGGGUGA